ACACACACCACCAUUCAAGAGAAGUUUUGGCAAGAUUUAGCCAUGGGCUCUAAUGGCAGAGAGGCAACAGCCAGAGCCUUUGCGGGCAGAAAGACAUGGAAUUUGCUCUUGUCUCUGUGUCUACACGCCUGGCCGUGUAUGGAAACACAAGAGGCAGCAGGUCUUCCUUGUCAUGCAGCUGGUGAAUGUGGCCUCUCAGUAAAAUCUUGGCAGCGCUGUCAAAAGCAGCCAGGUCUCUGCAUCAACCUCUUGUGCUCCAUUCACUUCUUCCCUAAGACUGUGGUGCCCUGGUGUCCUAGUGGGAAACCCUACAGGAGAGGAAGGAGCUUCACCUCAAUGGGCUCUGCUGAGGACGGGUUUUUCCCAGCUGCAGUUUGUGUCUUGCCGUCUCGAGCGCAUUCUGAAAAACUAGAUCUUUGCCUGCUAAACUGCCUUCCCUUUGAUUCUGACCUAGAUCUUUCCAACCCGUCUUAGCUGUGAGGCUAAACGGGACRCAGCAAAACCCACCUCGCCUUGGCCCCUGCUCCUCACCCUGCGGAGC
Nothoprocta perdicaria is the source of this 541-nucleotide long non-coding RNA. RefSeq lists it as uncharacterized. The record is from RefSeq and is a predicted model, not a curated record. The transcript has 2 exons. NCBI's taxonomy places the organism in Eukaryota, Metazoa, Chordata, Aves, Tinamiformes, Tinamidae.